Molecule: non-coding RNA, 126 nt
Organism: Triticum urartu
Lineage: Eukaryota; Viridiplantae; Streptophyta; Magnoliopsida; Poales; Poaceae
Source: Rfam
UUACUACUCCCUCCAUCCGAAAAUACUUGUUAGAGAAAUUGAUAAAAAAUGUAUGUAUCUAGAACUAAAAUAUGUCUAGAUACAUCCAUUUCUCCGAUGAGUAUUUCUAGACGGAGGGAGUUUUAU